This is an RNA transcript of Cherax quadricarinatus, 6316 nucleotides long. It is a transcript of the gene named tripartite motif containing protein thin, with no coding region annotated. Lineage: Eukaryota; Metazoa; Arthropoda; Malacostraca; Decapoda; Parastacidae. The record is from RefSeq and is a predicted model, not a curated record.
CGACACUAGUAGAACGACCCGGGACGUCUGACGGAGCACACCGACCCUCCACACACACUAUACUGUCCGAACACUGUACGUUGUGAAGUGAUAGUGACGGCAGCUGUGACCUGUAGCUCUCGUGCGAGUUGUGUUAUGAUGGCUGCCACCGAGCCAUCACCAAGGCAGUGCAGAUAGCAUAAUACAAAAGCCAGUUGGCUUCUGUUCCGUUAACAAAAAGGUUAGUGACAAGCAGGUCUGGGUUGAAACUUCUCCCAGCUACCACCGCGUCCGCGCCCCUCUCCCCUCCUCCGUCCAGAAUAGACCUUGGGGAAAACCCUUUCCGCUGCAGGAAGUAGUGUUGCCCCUAGGCCCGGCCGGCGCCCCAGGGCCACAGUGCCACUAACCACCACGGCGGAAGCCUCGCCCAAACCUGCAGCAACUACUAACACAAGGACGAGAACACACACUCAGGCAAAGGACAGGAGGACCACUCAAGAGGAGCCAGCCUGAGGCAAGAUGGCACAGCAACUUGAGCAGCUCCUUACCUGCUGUAUAUGUCUGGACCGCUUCCGCAACCCAAAACUGCUACCAUGCCAGCACUCGGUGUGUAUGGAGCCCUGCAUGGAGGGCCUCGUCGACUACGUCCGUCGACAGGUCAAGUGCCCGGAGUGUCGCGCCGAGCAUCGGAUCCCUUACAAUGGGGUUCAAGGGUUUCCUUCCAACGUGACGCUUCAGAGGUUCCUCGAGGCUCACAUAGAGAUCACUGGCGAGACGCCGGACCCACACACAGGACAGUUAAUGGAAAGAUGCAACGUAUGUAACGAAAAGAAUUACUUGGCUGUGUGCGCCCACUGUGAAAAGAAGAUUUGCGAGGACUGCAAAGCUGCGCACACAGACAUUCUCAAACGAGAGAUUGGUCGCAUCAACAAUCAGGUUAAACGCGCCGCUCAUCGGCUGAACGAUCAGCUGUCUACUGUGGAACGCAACAUCACCGCCCUCAAGCAGAAUACACACAGUGUCUCAGAUGAAAUUGAAAAUAUCGCUAAACGUCUGCAAAAGUCUGUUAGAGACCGCUGCGAUUUUCUGAAGGCUGAGGUGGAGAACUACUAUAACAAUGAGCUUCGGAACCUGACAACACUCAAGGAGUCCCUCGAUCAAGAGGUCUCCAACAUCGGGGCCAACAUCGAACUGGCAGAGAAACACAUGGAUGAUAACACUCCCUGGGACGAUGCAGAGCUCAUGGACACCAAGGAUAUCUUCCUCAAGACCAUGGAAUUCAUUCGAAGUUUUGAUUACGAAGCCGGGGACUACAGCAGACGAACCAGAUUUAACCCUCCUGACGAUAUCAAUAAGCUUGCGACAACCCUGAGUACCCUGGGAGAGUUGACCUUCAAUACGCCCAACAAGAUGAGUGACGGCUACAACUCCGGCCCCUCCAUGGGCUCCGGCCUCAUGAAGAGUAAGAGCGACCACAGGCUGGCAGCUCAGUUUAGGGACCAGGAAGAUGGCUACGGUUACAGCUCAGGCAGGACCUCGCCUCUCAUGCGCAGACGCUUUGGGGAGAGGAACGUCGAGAGGCACGACGAGGAUUCCUCGGCUGACUCUGGGCGGCGGCGGUUCCGGUCAAGGUUCAUGCGCAAAGAAGAAGACGAGGAGCGUUCGGUUCGCUUCGCCGAAGAGGACGGAGUCAAACGACAGCGAGUCCUCGACACAGAGGAUGCCUCGCGCGGCCCGCUGUCCGGGAUCGUCAGACUCUACGACUCGCCCCGUGUCAUGAAACGAUUCCAGGAGCGUGAUCAACUUAAGAAUAAAAAGAAGGAAGAACCACCUAAGCCUGUACAACCCACGUUACCCAAGCCUCCCGUGACCCCUGUGCAGCGUAAAACAUCACGCCAAACUAGCAAUGAAGACGAAAUAGAUAAAAUUAAGAAACAAAAUAAAGCAGCAGACACGCCAGGAGCGACUGCCACAACGCCAACAGUGAGCUCCUCCACUCCCUCCACACCAACCACUCCCAAGCCCGCAGGUGAACGCGUUUCCUCCAUCAAAGAUGACGAGCGGCAGAGCCGCGUUGAUCGCACCUCCACUUCACCCAGAUCCUCUGUAAAUCAUUCCCCCACGUCUUCUAUGACUCGUGAAGAUGACUCCAGUCGUAGGCGUGAGUACAUAGGCUCCAGAACAGAUGCCAAUAUUACUGGAGCCAACGGUACAUCUGGUCGGCCUACUCUGGCCCGCAAAACGAGUGUUGAUACUGGAGUGACUAGUGUAGCACAGCGCUCCUAUCCCUUCAGCCGUUCUUCAUCUAAUUCAUCUGUAGGGGAUAAAGAUAAGGAUAAAAACACAAGUGGAACUCGAAGCCCCCGGCCCCUCGACACCACAGGCUUCGAGCGCCGCUUAUCUCGCUCCAACAGCACGGAGAGCAACAAGUCAGGUGAUGGGGCAGCAUCCCCUAAGAAAGCGACAGGUGCAGCCUUCUCUACCGAGGAACUUAGAAACCGUUUCGUGAAGGCAGACACAAAACCGUCCACAUCUAAAGUUGAUACUUCUAGAACGUCCGCUCAGAGUAAUUCUCGUUUUCAAUCACGUUUUUUAGGACGAGCCGGUACUCCUUCAGCAGAGGCCUCGAAGGAAUCAGGGAAUGAAGAUGAAGAUGAAGAAAGCAGCGAUGAUUCCGAGUCCGAGGAGAGUGAAGAGUCGUCUGAGGAAGAGGAGGAGGAGGAGGAGAAGGAACCUACAUCAGAAUACUCUCGUCCGGACGUUGGGCCCCUACUGGGGAAGAGUGCCCAGGCUCGCGAUGUAGCUGCCCCGGCUACUAGCUCUAGGAGCACCUGGAGUGAAAGGAAUUCAUACCCACCAGCUAGUUCUAGUGUAAAUGAUUCCGGUUAUGCAAGUAGAUAUGGCAGUAGCAGUGAGAAUAGCAAUGGCAACAGCACCACCACCCCAACCAGCAGGUAUGGAACCUCCAGCGUUAACACCAGCAGCACCGACACGGGAACAACCAGUCACCGGCGCCCAUCGUACCUGGACACACCGAAACCUCAGGCCAAGGAAAAGGAAGAUGAUUUUGAGUCUAAAUAUCCCUACUCAAGUAAGUACCUGAACCGUUCUCGGGCCGCAGUACCCGAGGAGGAUACCAAACCAACUUUUCAAAGCCGAUUUCUUAACCGGUCAAAAAGUUCGGCCGUUUUAGGACCUGAUGACACUGAUGAAUCUACUCCUGCCGCCACACAUGGCACUGGCCGGGCUCGCUUUGAAGAAUUAAAGGAACGAAGACAAAGGUUGGCAAGAAGCAAAAGCUCUGCAGGCCUGGAAGAUGAAGAAGGGACAACUCCUGACACAAACUCCGCCUCCAGUUAUCGACCUCGUUAUGGUCGAGUAGAACCUGAAACUUCUACCACAACACGUAGCACUACUUCAGGUGCAACAUCGUCAGGAAUAGGAAGCAGUAGCGGUACCGGAAGUGAAGAAGGUGGUUCAUCAUCUACCCAGCUCUCUAACUGGGCCCGCUACCUCAAGAAUAAGUAUGGUAACAGAAGCGGAGCAGCAGGAGGAGAUAGCACUGGUCGAAGUACUAGUACCGGUCUUGGCAGUGCUAGCACUGGGUUGGGCAGCAGUGCCAGUGGCACCAGCGGUCUCCUAGGCAGCUCACGACCUGGUACAAGCAGCACAGUAGGAGCCGGAGCUAGAGCUAUCUCUCGCUCUCGGUCCUCGCAUCUUCUUGGUCUUGCCAAAGAGGGCGAAUCUUCUGAAGAUGAUUCAAAAAACGUGCACGCUACCCCUACUUUCCCACAAGCAGGUACACUGGUUCCUACUCCGUUCGGAAGUUUACAUAGGAGCCAGUACCUGCAGAAACAACGCCUCUUAAUUAAGAUCGGGAGUAGGGGUAGUGAACCUGGAAAUUUUACAUGGCCAAGAGGCAUAGCUGUUGGACCCGACAACAGCAUUGUGGUUGCUGACUCUAGCAACCACCGCGUGCAAGUAUUUGACCAACAAGGUAAGUUCAUAAAAGAAUUUGGCUCUUAUGGAAGUGCAGAAGGUGAAUUUGAUUGUCUGGCGGGAGUUGCUGUUAACAGAAUCGGUCAGUAUAUCAUUGCCGAUCGCUACAACCAUAGGAUUCAAGUAUUUGAUCCAUCUGGCAUGUUCCUCCGAUCCUUCGGAAGCCAAGGUGGUGGAGAUGGGCGAUUUUCUUACCCAUGGGGUGUAACCACAGAUGCUCUCGGAUUCAUCUACGUCUGUGACAAAGAGAACCAUCGUGUACAAGUCUUCCAGUCUGACGGGUCUUUCGUUGGCAAGUUUGGGUCAAUGGGCAACAAACCUGGACAGCUCGAGCACCCACAUUACAUCGCUGUCUCUUCCACCAAUCGAGUUAUCGUCUCAGAUUCCAACAACCACCGCAUACAGAUAUUUGACAUUAAUGGCAAGGUUACAACAACAUUUGGGUCAGAGGGCAGCGACGAGGGACAGUUCAAGUUCCCAAGGGGAGUGGCUGUAGACGACCAAGGAUACAUCUUCGUGGCUGACAGUGGCAACAACCGUAUACAGAUCUUCCACCCCGACGGCUCCUUCCUAAGGGCAUUCGGCUGCUGGGGAUCUGGAGAGGGAGAAUUCAAGGGCCUUGAAGGUGUGGCGGUUAUGUCAAAUGGAAACAUCCUCGUCUGCGACCGGGAGAACCACAGAGUGCAGGUCUUCUGAGAAGGUCAUGCUUCGCAGACUCAGUUUGACCUCAAACCAUCGCUGGGAGAGUAGUGACGUAUCUGAGGUCAUAAAAAAUAUUUCGUGAGGAGAUAACAGAAAAGGUUGUUGGUUGCUCAUUGACUAGAAGAAAACCUAGCACCAUGCCAGCAGCAACUUGGAAUAUGGACAAGACUUUCUUUUCUCGACGAACCAAUUGAGAAGAAAUGCACACUGUUCAACGGUAAUGAGGCUGUAAUUGAUGAGAAAGGAUACAAAAGAAAUGUUAAUGAAUAUGAACUUACUUGAUGGUUAUUUCGUCACAUGUAGGAACUCGGGUUAGGCGAAUUUUCCUUGUCAAUUCGCCGACAACCUCAAGGGAGACGAAAUUUAGAUUCAUUAUUUAUCGAGAUAUAUUGAGGGUAAACGUUGGUAGGCAGUCUAGGGCAGAGUGAACUCUGUCCGUGUUUGGGUAUUCAUUGCAUUUCAUUCCAAAAAUGCCAUAAUAGAUCAUAAGACCCAGUUUACUAUGAAGAGUACUGUUGUAAAGUUCUAUACGUAUAUGAUUUUUUGACUCCACCUUGCCCUAGACAUGUAGUCUACCCUAAUUGUGAUUGCUAGGUUACAGUGCAUCUGGGGGUGAUGUGUACAUUAGACUUUAUUGUAACACAUUUGUACAUUGUACAUAAGUGUAUUUUUAUGAAUAUAUGAAAGCAUCAGUACUAAAGUAUCAAUCGUCUGCAAGUUCGUGAUGGCAUAUAACUUGUAAAAUUGAAUGUGUGAGAAUUUGUCAGUUCCUUUUUCUUUGUACUCAGUGUUGGCCAUAGAUAAGUCAACAUACUCUGGGGAUACUGCCAUGAUGACUGGUCACAUGGAAUUGUACAUGUCUUAACCUCUUCACCGCUAAUAAUUUUAAUUUUUGAAGUCAUUCGAUACAUAAUGGAUCCUUCCGUAUCUUGAAAUCAGUCUUUUAACCUGUAAUUAUUAGAUGCAUGAACAGCAGUUUGCUUUUUAGUUGGGCACAGUGGCGCGCAGACAUGCAAUAACGUACUUAUUGUGCCAUAAACAUUCUAUCAUGUUUCUUUUACUAAGUUUAUUGAGGAAGAGGAUUGAAAAAAAUAGUGAAACAUCUAAGUUAUACUAUAUAUCUUUUGCAAUACUUACUUAAUAUGAUUUUUAAAUAUGUAUAUCUCCAAAAAAUCACUGUUGGACAUAUCGUUGUUUGUAGUUAUAAUAAGCAUUUUUCUUAUAUAUGUGUUGUAUAGUUAGUCACAUUUACACAAAGGUUAAAGAAGCAAAGAUCCUUGAUGUGAAAUUUCUCUCAAAAGGGUGUUACAGUAUUUAAAUAAUUCUCUUUUUGUAAGAGGGUUCAUUUUAAAUUCCAAUUUAUGGCUUGUUUUCUCAGCAGUAUUGUUGCCCACUUGUUGAAAGAUAUUCUGCAAUGAGUGUAGCAGUUUUAAAGAUAAACUUAAAAUUUUCAGAAUCUUUUGAGCUCAAUUGUUUAAUUAAAUUGGUGUUGGCUACAAAUUGUCUUAUUCAGUUUUGAGUAAUGUUCUAAUAAGACUGUCUUUCUAACUAUUAAUAAAUUAAUCAUUGUCUAGUUAUUUUCUUUAUAUUACUGAAAUGAAAGACUGUCAAGCUGAGAAUAAAAUGAUCAGUUCAA